This 3257-nucleotide long non-coding RNA is filed under the name Sus scrofa (pig). Its description in RNAcentral is "lncRNA (ENSSSCG00060001355.1)". Lineage: Eukaryota; Metazoa; Chordata; Mammalia; Artiodactyla; Suidae. The record is from RNAcentral.
AUUUCUUUGGGCCGCUCCCGCGGCAUAUGGAGGUUCCCAGGCUAGGGGUCCAAUCGGAGCUGUAGCCACCGGCCUACGCCAGAGCCACAGCAACGCGGGAUCCGAGCUGAGUCUGCAACCUACACCACAGCUCACGGCAACGCCGGAUCGUUAACCCACUGAGCAAGGGCAGGGACCGAAUCCGCAACCUCAUGGUUCCCAGUCGGAUUCGUUAACCACUGCGCCACGACGGGAACUCCUGGAGAGCAAAUUCGAGCAGCACUUGCUACUGCAAAGAGGGGUCUUCACCUUUGCCAUUUAGAGCGAGAACAAUUUAGAGGCAUCAAACCAAUAUGUUUAGACCCAGACAAGCUAGAGGGAAAUCAGCGGGUCAUCUCAGCUCUCCUGCACAUUUAUGAAAGAGGAACCUUGAGAUCAAAACCAAGAAAGUGAACAGCCCAAGACUCCCCGAGCACUCAAUUCUAAUGACGGUGUCAAAGCCACAGCCUUGGUAGUGGCUGGCCUUUAGCACGACAGGCGGCCCUCAGCCAGCACACCCAGGCUCCUGAAUGGGGAAUCCCAGGGCAGCCCCACAACAGGGGCCUCGGUGCCCAAGGUUGGUGGCUGGCUGGAGGCUGACUUCACCCCUUAACAAGCCUCCCAAGUCACCCCCUCCAAAUACUGCAGCUGGAAGUGUCUGUCCCAGACUUAAUGAAAAUUCACUUUGCCACCAGGCAGGACAGAUUGAUUUCUCUAUUAGUGCUUAUAACCAUGGUCCAGACAAAUCUGAGGUCAGAGUUGGGUCAGAGUGAGCUGGUUUCCUACAGUCACAUCCAGAGGAUGCUUUGAAUGGACCCUAUGGGCUUCUAAUGUCUACAUGCCAGAUUCUGAUGGAAGUAGCGUUAGCGCCUUCAUUAGUGUCUCGUUUAAAACUAUGAUAUUCUGAAUAAUUCAGACGGUUGCUAAAGGGCUGCAUUAUGUUUUAUUUUCUCAAACUGGGGGGCUAUGAACAAAAAAAGUUUUUGAGGGGGAAAGACAAAACCAAGGGAAGCAAGUUAGCAACUAAGUCUUUGACCCAGGCCUAAAUGUGAGCACCACUGGUUAAGGUCACUCAAGAGAGUUCCCGUCAUGGCUCAGCGGUAAGCAACCCGACUAGUGUCCAUGAGCAUGAGGGUUCGAUCCCUGGCCUUACUCAGUGGUUAAGGAUCUAGCGUUGCUAUGAGCUGUAGUGUAGGUCGCAGUUGCAGCUCAGAUCCUGCAUUGCUGUAGCUGUGAUGUAGCUGCAGCUCUGAUUGCACCCCUGGCCUGGGAACUUCCAUAUGCUGCAGCCCUAAAAAGUAAAAAUAAAUAAAUUUUUUACAAAAUUUAAAAAAAUUACUCACGAUGCCCUCCUUCUAGUGGUGACAUUAGAAUCUGGGCAUUUCCAUUACAUUUCCCCCCAGAACCCCCCUACUGCCUUUCAGUUCUGAGAGUCUGCCUCCCAUAUAGAAAGAACCUCUACAGGGAAGAUCGGAUUGUGAGGCUGAUUUUCCUUAAUAGCUUGAAAUUUAUUUUAGAAUUUCCUUACUAGGUUUCCUAAGAUGCUCUACCAUUAGGAAAGCCUAUCCUUCUAAUUCUAAACCCUUUCAAUCCAGUUCCUUACCUAGUUGCUCCAUUACGUUUUAUGAGUACUGGCUUUACUCCAAUCUUCACAUCAUUAGUGGCCUGUUGUAUAAGCCCCACCACUACAGGGCUCUGGAGAGCAUCACAAGGUGGGCACCUGGCCAAAGAUGCUGAGACACAGUCCUGUGACUGCUCAUUGGGCUGACUUCAGCUUGGCUUCUGAUGUGUAGGAACCCUCCUACACGGUGGGUGGGAAUGUAAACUGGUGCAGCUGCUACGGAGAACAGUAUAGAGAUUCCUCAUAAAACUAAAAAUAGAACCUACCAUAUGAUCCAGCAAUCCCACUCCUGGACAUCUAUCUGAAGAAAACCAUAAGUCAAAAAAAUCCAUGCACCUCAAUAUUCAGAGCAGCGCUAUUCACAAUAGCCAAGACAUGGAAGCAACCUAAAUGUUCAACGACAGAGGAAUGGCUAAAGAAGAUGUGGCAGUUGUAUGCAAUGGAAUAUUACUCAGCCAUAAAGAAGAAUGAAAUAAUGCCAUUUGCAGCAACAUGGAUGGACCUAGAAAUGAUCAUACUAACCGAAGUAAAUCAGAUGGAGAAAGACAAAUACCAUAUGAUAUCACCUAUAUGUGGAAUCUAAAAUACAGCACAGAUGUACCUAUCUACAGAGCAAAAACAGACUCACAGACACAGAGAAUAGACUUGUGAUUGCCAAGGCGGAGGGGUGGGGGUGGGAUGGACUGGGAGUUUUGGGUUAGUAGAUGCAAACUAUUACUUUUAGAAUGGAGAAGCAAUGAGGUCCUCCUACUGUAUCACACAGGGAACUAGAUCCACAUCCUGUAAUAAACCAUAAUGGAAAAGAAUAUGAAAAACAUAUAUAUGUAUAACAAUCAUUUUGCUGUACAACUUGUAAAUCAAGUACACCUCAAUAAAAAAUAAAUUUUAAAGAAUAAUAAUAGUAACCAAAUAGUUCAUAAUAUCCUUUUGUUAAAACAUCUUAAUACAUCGCUAACCUGUUCUCAGCUCUAGACUCAUGAUCAGGAACCACAGCUGAUCAUUCCGCCCCUCUCUCUUCCUCGGGCCCUGAUGAGAAAGGAGACCCAAAUCAUUUGUAGUGACUUGAAAUCAGGCCAUGAGCUUUUGCUCCUCCGGGCUCCAUAAAGUGGUGACUGAUGGCAGGAGGUGUUGUCAGGGUCUGGGCACAAAGGAGACACCUGAGGGAUAGGGACUGAGUGUGACAGUGCUUCUACCGCCCCAAGGGAAGGAUGUCAGAAUCUCCUCCCACAACCACCUCUGCAUGAAAUAAACUGCAUCUCAGGAGAAGAUACCUGCAACCCAUCCUUAUAUACGGCAGUGGGAAAUUACAUGCAACAGGAGAUUGUUUGAGGAUGUAAAAGGAAACAUUAAAACGGGAAGCACAUGUCAAAAAACAGUUUCUUCAGCAACUGCUUAUCCAGGGUAAACGAACCUGCCUCAGUAACAGGCAUUCAUCUCGAAACAGGCAUCAACCCCAAUAAUAGAUUGUCAAUGGAAAAUGAGUCUGUAGAUGAGUCACUUAACAAGAAUAUUCUUCCACUAGUUUUCAAAGCAUUGUCAAGACUGUGCUCCCAUCAUCUGGAUUGGUUUAAAUAAAACCCACUUGCAUUUGUGGGGUUGUGUUUUUGUUUUCAUUUUU